UACGUAGGGUGCAAGCGUUAAUCGGAAUUACUGGGCGUAAAGCGUGCGCAGGCGGUCCGCUAAGACAGAUGUGAAAUCCCCGGGCUUAACCUGGGAACUGCAUUUGUGACUGGCGGGCUAGAGUAUGGCAGAGGGGGGUAGAAUUCCACGUGUAGCAGUGAAAUGCGUAGAGAUGUGGAGGAAUACCGAUGGCGAAGGCAGCCCCCUGGGCCAAUACUGACGCUCAUGCACGAAAGCGUGGGGAGCAAACGGG
RNAcentral lists this ribosomal RNA (253 nucleotides) under uncultured bacterium. RNAcentral's name for it is "partial 16S ribosomal RNA". It matches the Rfam family "Bacterial small subunit ribosomal RNA", at positions 524 to 776 of the family's 1533-position model. The record is from RNAcentral.